UGCUCCGGUUGGGUGCAUGUCCUUCCGGGAAAGAUUCCAUCGGUAUGGGAUGGGGUCGCGUCCUAUCAGCUUGAUGGCGGGGUAACGGCCCACCAUGGCCUCGACGGGUAGCCGGCCUGAGAGGGCGACCGGCCACACUGGGACUGAGAUACGGCCCAGACUCCUACGGGAGGCAGCAGUGGGGAAUAUUGCACAAUGGGCGCAAGCCUGAUACAGCGACGCCGCGUGCGGGAUGGAGGCCUUCGGGUUGUAAACCGCUUUUGAUCGGGAGCAAGCCCCUCGGGGUGAGUGUACCCUUCGAAUAAGCACCGGCUAACUACGUGCCAGCAGCCGCGGUAAUACGUAGGGUGCAAGCGUUAUCCGGAAUUAUUGGGCGUAAAGGGCUCGUAGGCGGUUCGUCGCGUCCGGUGUGAAAGCCCAUCGCUUAACGGUGGGUCUGCGCCGGGUACGGGCGGGCUGGAGUGCGGUAGGGGAGACUGGAAUUCCCGGUGUAACGGUGGAAUGUGUAGAUAUCGGGAAGAACACCAAUGGCGAAGGCAGGUCUCUGGGCCGUCACUGACACUGAGGAGCGAAAGCGUGGGGAGCGAACAGGAUUAGAUACCCUGGUAGUCCACGCCGUAAACGGUGGAUGCUGGAUGUGGGGCCCGUUCCACGGGUUCCGUGUCGGAGCUAACGCGUUAAGCAUCCCGCCUGGGGAGUACGGCCGCAGGGCUAAAACUCAAAGAAAUUGACGGGGGCCCGCACAAGCGGCGGAGCAUGCGGAUUAAUUCGAUGCAACGCGAAGAACCUUACCAAGGCUUGACAUACACCGGAAACGGCCAGAGAUGGUCGCCCCCUUGUGGUCGGUGUACAGGUGGUGCAUGGUUGUCGUCAGCUCGUGUCGUGAGAUGUUGGGUUAAGUCCCGCAACGAGCGCAACCCUCGUUCUAUGUUGCCAGCGCGUUAUGGCGGGGACUCAUAGGAGACUGCCGGGGUCAACUCGGGGGAAGGUGGGGAUGACGUCAAAUCAUCAUGCCCCUUAUGUCUUGGGCUUCACGCAUGCUACAAUGGCCGGUACAAAGGGCUGCGAUACCGUAAGGUGGAGCGAAUCCCAAAAAGCCGGUCUCAGUUCGGAUUGAGGUCUGCAACUCGACCUCAUGAAGUCGGAGUCGCUAGUAAUCGCGAAUCAGCAACGU
Molecule: ribosomal RNA, 1174 nt
Filed under: uncultured Bifidobacterium sp.
Lineage: Bacteria; Bacillati; Actinomycetota; Actinomycetes; Bifidobacteriales; Bifidobacteriaceae
Description: bacterial SSU rRNA
Rfam family: Bacterial small subunit ribosomal RNA
Source: RNAcentral